CGUGCCUAAUACAUGCAAGUCGAGCGAACGGACGAGAAGCUUGCUUCUCUGAUGUUAGCGGCGGACGGGUGAGUAACACGUGGAUAACCUACCUAUAAGACUGGGAUAACUUCGGGAAACCGGAGCUAAUACCGGAUAAUAUUUUGAACCGCAUGGUUCAAAAGUGAAAGACGGUCUUGCUGUCACUUAUAGAUGGAUCCGCGCUGCAUUAGCUAGUUGGUAAGGUAACGGCUUACCAAGGCAACGAUGCAUAGCCGACCUGAGAGGGUGAUCGGCCACACUGGAACUGAGACACGGUCCAGACUCCUACGGGAGGCAGCAGUAGGGAAUCUUCCGCAAUGGGCGAAAGCCUGACGGAGCAACGCCGCGUGAGUGAUGAAGGUCUUCGGAUCGUAAAACUCUGUUAUUAGGGAAGAACAUAUGUGUAAGUAACUGUGCACAUCUUGACGGUACCUAAUCAGAAAGCCACGGCUAACUACGUGCCAGCAGCCGCGGUAAUACGUAGGUGGCAAGCGUUAUCCGGAAUUAUUGGGCGUAAAGCGCGCGUAGGCGGUUUUUUAAGUCUGAUGUGAAAGCCCACGGCUCAACCGUGGAGGGUCAUUGGAAACUGGAAAACUUGAGUGCAGAAGAGGAAAGUGGAAUUCCAUGUGUAGCGGUGAAAUGCGCAGAGAUAUGGAGGAACACCAGUGGCGAAGGCGACUUUCUGGUCUGUAACUGACGCUGAUGUGCGAAAGCGUGGGGAUCAAACAGGAUUAGAUACCCUGGUAGUCCACGCCGUAAACGAUGAGUGCUAAGUGUUAGGGGGUUUCCGCCCCUUAGUGCUGCAGCUAACGC
RNAcentral lists this ribosomal RNA (834 nucleotides) under uncultured Staphylococcus sp. RNAcentral describes it as "bacterial SSU rRNA". It matches the Rfam family "Bacterial small subunit ribosomal RNA", at positions 43 to 858 of the family's 1533-position model. Lineage: Bacteria; Bacillati; Bacillota; Bacilli; Caryophanales; Staphylococcaceae. The record is from RNAcentral.